Molecule: long non-coding RNA, 1192 nt
Filed under: Setaria italica (foxtail millet)
Lineage: Eukaryota; Viridiplantae; Streptophyta; Magnoliopsida; Poales; Poaceae
Description: long non-coding RNA (SITA_LNC001565)
Source: RNAcentral
GGCUCAAGCUCAGCCAGCGAGGGCGUCGGCGCCGGCGACGAUCUCGAGGAUCUCCCCGGUGAUCUUGGCCUGGCGCUGGCGGUUGUAGGCGAUGGAGAGGUUCUUGCGGAGCUCGAUGGCGUUGUCGGUGGCGCUGCUCAUGGCGCUCAUCCGGGCGGCGAGCUCGCUGGCGAGCGACUCCUGCAGGGCGCGGAGGAUCUGGCUGUUGAGGUAGAGCGGGAGCAGCGCGUCGAGGAUCUGCACGGGGUCCUGCUCGAACUGCACCACGGGGGAGAAGGGCUGCGUCUCGAUCUUCACCUUCUCGCGCUCCACGGUGAGCUUCCCCUCCUUGGUGGUGAGGCGGAACAGCUCGUCCUCCGUGGCGUCCACGCACACGCCGUUGACGUCGCAGAUCUCCCCCUUGGGGGACAUGGGCAGCAGCGUCUGGAUGAUGGGGUCGGAGCGCACCAGGGACACGAACUUGGAGUAGAGCAGCUCCACCUUGUCCACCGCCUCGGAGACGAAGAGCGAGUACACCAGGUCGCAGAUGGCCUGCGAGUCCUUCACGGUGGGCACGCCGCUCACCUCCAGCUCCCGCUCCAGCGGGAUGUAGGGCGGCGCUGGAAGUAGGCGUUGCCCUUCUUCCCCACGCUGAUGACGUGUAUUCGAGGCCCAGCUGCUUGAGCUCGUCGAUGCGGGUGUCCGCCUUCUUGAGCACGUUGUUGUUGAAGCUGCCGCAGAGGCCGCGCUCGCCGGUGAGGACCACGAGGGCCACUUUCUUGACGGGGCGGGUGCGGGUGAGCGGCAGGUCGAUGUCCUCCGUCUGGAUCUCCUGGUUCAUGUUGUAGAGGACCUCCACGAGCGCCUCCGAGAAGGGGCGGGAGGAGACGACGGCCUCCUGCGCGCGCCGGACCUUGGCGGCGGCCACGAGCUUCAUGGCCUCGGUGAUCUUCUGCGUGUUGCGGACGGAGUCGAUGCGGCUGCGGAGCUCGCGGAGGGAGCACCGCACCACGAGGCCGCUGCCGCCGGAGCGCGGGGCGGAGGAGCGCCGCCGGGUGGAGGAGGCGCUGCUGGCGAGCGCCGAGGAGGACCACGCGGUGGAGAGGUGGGAGCACGACAUGGCUGGCUGGUGGUGGAUCCGCGGCGACGGGGAUCAACACCAGCGGCGGCGGUGGCGGAGGAGGGAGUGGAAGGGAGAGGGGCGGGAUGGGAG